RNAcentral lists this ribosomal RNA (456 nucleotides) under uncultured bacterium. RNAcentral's name for it is "bacterial SSU rRNA". It matches the Rfam family "Bacterial small subunit ribosomal RNA", at positions 340 to 786 of the family's 1533-position model. The record is from RNAcentral.
UACGGAAGGCAGCAGUGGGGAAUAUUGCACAAUGGGCGAAAGCCUGAUGCAGCUAUGCCGCGUGUAUGAAGAAGGCCUUAGGGUUGUAAAGUACUUUCAUCGGGGAGGAAAAACAAAACUAAUAAUUUUAUUUCUUGACGUUACCCGAAAAAGAAGCACCGGCUAACUCCGUGCCAGCAGCCGCGGUAAUACGGAGGGUGCUAGCGUUAAUCAGAAUUACUGGGCGUAAAGAGCACGUAGGUGGUUUUUUUAAAGUCAGAUGUGAAUCCCUGGGCUUAACCUAGGAACUGCAUUUUGAAACUGAAAUACUAGAGUAUCGUAAGAGGGAGGUAGAAUUCUAGGUGUAGCGGUGAAAUGCGUAGAUAUCUGGAGGAAUACCUGUGGCGAAAGCGGCCUCCUAAACGAAUACUGACACUGAGGUGCGAAAGCGUGGGGAGCAAACAGGGAUUAGAUACC